This 467-nucleotide ribosomal RNA is filed under the name uncultured bacterium. RNAcentral describes it as "partial 16S ribosomal RNA". It matches the Rfam family "Bacterial small subunit ribosomal RNA", at positions 28 to 508 of the family's 1533-position model. The record is from RNAcentral.
GAUGAACGCUGGCGGCGUGCUUAACACAUGCAAGUCGAACGAUGAAGCCCAGCUUGCUGGGUGGAUUAGUGGCGAACGGGUGAGUAACACGUGAGUAACCUGCCCUUGACUCUGGGAUAAGCCUGGGAAACUGGGUCUAAUACUGGAUAUGACUUCUCAUCGCAUGGUGGGGGGUGGAAAGAUUUAUUGGUCUUGGAUGGACUCGCGGCCUAUCAGCUUGUUGGUGAGGUAAUGGCUCACCAAGGCGUCGACGGGUAGCCGGCCUGAGAGGGUGACCGGCCACACUGGGACUGAGACACGGCCCAGACUCCUACGGGAGGCAGCAGUGGGGAAUAUUGCACAAUGGGCGCAAGCCUGAUGCAGCGACGCCGCGUGAGGGAUGACGGCCUUCGGGUUGUAAACCUCUUUCAGUAGGGAAGAAGCGAGAGUGACGGUACCUGCAGAAGAAGCGCCGGCUAACUACGUGC